This 253-nucleotide ribosomal RNA is filed under the name uncultured bacterium. RNAcentral describes it as "partial 16S ribosomal RNA". It matches the Rfam family "Bacterial small subunit ribosomal RNA", at positions 524 to 776 of the family's 1533-position model. The record is from RNAcentral.
UACGGAGGGGGCUAGCGUUGUUCGGAAUUACUGGGCGUAAAGCGCACGUAGGCGGCUUUGCAAGUCAGAGGUGAAAGCCCGGGGCUCAACCCCGGAAUUGCCUUUAAUACUGCCAGUCUAGAGUCCGGAAGAGGUAAGUGGAACUCCUAGUGUAGAGGUGGAAUUCGUAGAUAUUAGGAAGAACACCAGUGGCGAAGGCGGCUUACUGGUCCGGUACUGACGCUGAGGUGCGAAAGCGUGGGGAGCAAACAGG